This 522-nucleotide ribosomal RNA is filed under the name uncultured bacterium. Its description in RNAcentral is "bacterial SSU rRNA". It matches the Rfam family "Bacterial small subunit ribosomal RNA", at positions 777 to 1296 of the family's 1533-position model. The record is from RNAcentral.
AAUAGAUACCCGGGUAGUCCACGCUGUAAACUAUGAGUGCUAGGUGUAGGGGGUAGUCGACACCCUCUGUGCCGCAGCAAACGCAAUAAGCACUCCGCCUGGGGAGUACGGUCGCAAGACUAAAACUCAAAGGAAUUGACGGGGGCCCGGCACAAGCAGCGGAGCAUGUGGUUUAAUUCGAAGCAACGCGAAGAACCUUACCAGGGCUUGACAUCUACCUAACACUUUAGAGAUAGAGUGGUGCCUUUUUAGGAAAGGUAAGACAGGUGGUGCAUGGUUGUCGUCAGCUCGUGUCGUGAGAUGUUGGGUUAAGUCCCGCAACGAGCGCAACCCUUGUCAUUAGUUGCUAACAGUAAGAUGAGCACUCUAAUGAGACUGCCGGGGACAACUCGGAGGAAGGUGGGGAUGACGUCAAAUCAUCAUGCCCCUUAUGUCCUGGGCUACACGCGUGCUACAAUGGCUAGAACAAUGAGAUGCAAUCUGUGAAGUGGAGCAAAUCUAUAAAAACCUGUCCCAGUUCGG